CAGAGAAUAGUUUAAAGAGAAUUUCAGCUUUGGGUGCUGAUGGUGGGGUGUGGACCUCUUCUCUGA
Molecule: transfer RNA, 66 nt
Filed under: Lepus capensis (brown hare)
Lineage: Eukaryota; Metazoa; Chordata; Mammalia; Lagomorpha; Leporidae
Also listed under: 2 other names
Description: tRNA-Pro
Source: RNAcentral